GAGCCAAGAAUUUCCAGAAACGCAUUCUCUGGUUUUUGCAACAGAGGUCGACUCAUGAGUCGACCCCUGAAGCAUGAGUCGACUCAUGAGUCGACCCCUGCGACGGGAAAUGUCAGCAACGGCUAUUUUUUUGCCUGUUUUAAUUGCCAUUUAUACUUUCUAAAAAUCCUCUAAUGGCUCUUUAUUUACCUAAAAUAUUUUCUCUUGCUUCUAAUGCUACAAAAUGCUUAAAAUGAUAAAAGAAAUUGCAGAUUAAAUAGCGGAUAAAACGUGAAAUCAAAAAUGAGAAGAACAGAAGAAAGGAUCCAAAAUUUGCAAGAAAAAGCCUGAUAUCAACGAAAAAUCCAAAAAGAAAAAGAGAGAGGAUCCACAAUAUACCAGAGAGAGUGUGAAAGAGAAAAGCAAGAUCUUUCAAGGAGAGAAUUCUUCACGCCUAUUGUUUCAACCUUGAUCUAGAGAUCGUUCAAAGCUUUCAAUAGAUCUUCAAUCAAC
RNAcentral lists this long non-coding RNA (492 nucleotides) under Elaeis guineensis (African oil palm). RNAcentral describes it as "long non-coding RNA (EGUI_LNC038922)". Lineage: Eukaryota; Viridiplantae; Streptophyta; Magnoliopsida; Arecales; Arecaceae. The record is from RNAcentral.